AGCCACAGCCAUAUCACCCUGCAGCCCAAGACCAGUUACUCACUGAAGCCAAGCAGGGCUGAGCCUGGGCAGUACCUGGAUGGGAGACAACAUAGAAAAACUGGGUUGCUGUUGGAA
This 117-nucleotide ribosomal RNA is filed under the name Danio rerio (zebrafish). Lineage: Eukaryota; Metazoa; Chordata; Actinopteri; Cypriniformes; Danionidae. The record is from RNAcentral.